AUUUAUAUAGUAUAAGAAUUAUAUUUAACUUCCAAUUAAAAGAUCUAAUUUUAGUAUAAAUA
This 62-nucleotide transfer RNA is filed under the name Drilaster sp. BMNH 840462. Its description in RNAcentral is "tRNA-Gly". The record is from RNAcentral. Lineage: Eukaryota; Metazoa; Arthropoda; Insecta; Coleoptera; Lampyridae.